AUUUUCGUCUAAACAAUGCUUCGUUAUUCUCUUGCAAUUCACUAAUAAGAAAUGCGCUGUGAUCGUCGGAUUUUCAACUUAAAUGGUGCAGUGGAAAAAUGUGCCGAAUAUACCAACCGAUGGGAACAAGGAAGAUCCGGAUAUUGGAUCCCAGUUUAAAGAAGAAAAGCAGGAGAAAAGUCAUUCCCCAUGGUCGUCUAGGCAUGCGAUUUCAUCUUCCGGAGUAAGUCGGACGAUCUGGAGCAAGAUCCGGAACUUGAUCCUCGGCAAAUGGUGGAUUAAAAUUCAAUUUUGAUAUUUCCCGAAUCACGAUUUGACUGCAGUAGCUCAAGAGUUGUAGGAUCCCCAAGCCGGGAGAGUACAGCAUCAUACGUGACCAUACCUCAAUCGAAGUUGUGAACCAUCGAUGGAAAAAUAAUUUUAUGUUAGAAUGAAUGUUUUUUAAUCCAUGUUAAAAGAUGUAACUUGUUAGUUUAAUUCUAUAUCGUUUUAAUUAAAUAAAACAAC
Long non-coding RNA from Uranotaenia lowii, 507 nucleotides. RefSeq lists it as uncharacterized. NCBI's taxonomy places the organism in Eukaryota, Metazoa, Arthropoda, Insecta, Diptera, Culicidae. The record is from RefSeq and is a predicted model, not a curated record. The transcript has 3 exons.